UACGUAGGUCCCGAGCGUUGUCCGGAUUUAUUGGGCGUAAAGCGAGCGCAGGCGGCGCGCCAAGUCUGAUGUGAAACCCCGGGGCUCAACCCCGGGCAUGCAUUGGAAACUGGCGGGCUGGAGUGCCGGAGAGGUAAGCGGAAUUCCUAGUGUAGCGGUGAAAUGCGUAGAUAUAAGGAAGAACACCAGUGGCGAAGGCGGAUGACUGGACGGCAACUGACGGUGAGGCGCGAAAGCGUGGGGAGCAAACAGG
Molecule: ribosomal RNA, 253 nt
Filed under: uncultured bacterium
Lineage: Bacteria
Description: partial 16S ribosomal RNA
Rfam family: Bacterial small subunit ribosomal RNA
Source: RNAcentral